CACGUAGGGGGCAAGCGUUGUCCGGAUUUAUUGGGCGUAAAGAGCUCGUAGGCGGUUCGGUAAGUCGGGUGUGAAACCUCCAGGCUCAACCUGGAGACGCCACCCGAUACUGCUGUGACUAGAGUCCGGUAGGGGAGCGUGGAAUUCCUGGUGUAGCGGUGAAAUGCGCAGAUAUCAGGAGGAACACCGGUGGCGAAGGCGGGUCUCUGGGCCGAUACUGACGCUGAGGAGCGAAAGCCAGGGGAGCAAACGGG
Molecule: ribosomal RNA, 254 nt
Filed under: uncultured bacterium
Lineage: Bacteria
Description: partial 16S ribosomal RNA
Rfam family: Bacterial small subunit ribosomal RNA
Source: RNAcentral